AGAUAAUAUUGUAUUUCGUAUAUAUAUGUUUAUAGGUUUAUUCGUAUCAACAAAUCUGUGUACGAGUUAAUAACGCACCCUGGGUUCCCUGCAUUUUCAGUGACAGAGAACCAGAUAUAAGAAUGCAGGGAAACAAGCCUUGUUACAAGGUUUGAGGGUCUCUGCUAGAAUCAUGUGGACCCCAGUGUAACACAUCUAUGGAAAGAGAGAAAAUCUCAGCUCAAGGGUCAACAUGUCUUUAUUCCAAGAAAGAGUGUACAUAUGCCAGAAUCAUAUGGACCGCAGACUGGCCCUGGUGAUUCCGUUAAGAAAAAAGAGGAAAAAUCAGUGUUUGUGCUCAUUGGUCAUUGGACAAAGGGUGUAUGCCAGAAUUUUUUGAAGAACAGUCUGAAUCUGACAUGGAAAAAAUGAAGAAAAACAGCCUUCCUGUUUAUAAAUCUACAUUCUGACAAAGGGUAAGAAAGAAAUUCAGGAGUUCUUAAAUUGCCCUCAGACUUCUUGGAUUGCAUCAAACUGCUAAAAGACCUCAACAAAAACAGUGUCUUGAAAAAAAAAUGAAAAUAUUCAGUGAAAAAAAAAUUAUGAGAGAAAAAGCCACUAAAAAUCUUCAAGCCUUUGAGCUGAAAUCUGGAAGUCAAUCUGUGGACUUUACUGGUAUGUCUUACUAAUUAAGUCAUCAUUUGUGUAUAAUAAAUACACUAAACUGUAAACACUUGUUAAAAUGUAUAUAAUUUUUAGAUAUAAUUUGUAGCUCACAGACAUCAAUAGUUUCAUGUAAUUUAAGUAAUAAUGAAAAUUUCCUGUUGUCUGGCUAGAUUAGAAACUAUAUAUUAUUGUCCAAUUUUGGAUAUUGUGAAAUAAUUCAUUUAGUAAAAUUGGGUAUGCAUACAUGUGUAUACACUUACAUGUAAAUUAAUUGUUAUAGCAAAUUUAAUCUAUCAUUAAGUUGAAUGUUGACUAAUGUUUUUCAUCAAAAUUGUUUACACUGAAUUGUUUGUGGAUUUUUCCAUUUGCCCAAUUAUGUCAAG
This is a long non-coding RNA of Saccostrea echinata, 1028 nucleotides long. RefSeq lists it as uncharacterized. The transcript is spliced from 5 exons. NCBI's taxonomy places the organism in Eukaryota, Metazoa, Mollusca, Bivalvia, Ostreida, Ostreidae. The record is from RefSeq and is a predicted model, not a curated record.